RNAcentral lists this ribosomal RNA (577 nucleotides) under uncultured eukaryote. RNAcentral's name for it is "bacterial SSU rRNA". It matches the Rfam family "Eukaryotic small subunit ribosomal RNA", at positions 1048 to 1640 of the family's 1831-position model. The record is from RNAcentral.
GAGGGCCCGGAGGAGUUACGUACGACCCUCCGGGCCCUCCCGCGAGAAUCAGGAGUAUUCGGGUUCCGGGGGGAGUAUGGUCGCAAGGCCGAAACUUAAAGGAAUUGACGGAAGGGCACCACCAGGAGUGGAAUCUGCGGCUUAAUUUGACCCAACGCGGGAAAACUCACCAGGUCAGGACACGGUAAGGAUUGACGGACUGAAGGCUCUUUCUCGAUUCCGUGGAAAGUGGUGCAUGGCCGUUUUUGGUGGUGGAUCGAUCCGUCUGGUUAAUUCCGUUAACGAACGAGACCUCGGCACUCCGAAUAGCGCGGCGGACGUCGCGGCCUCCGGGCCGUCUUCCGCACGAGCUUCUUAGAGGGACCGUCCCCCGCCGGGGAAGGAGGUGCGAGGCAACGACAGGUCUGUGAUGCCCUUAGAUGUUCUGGGCCGCACGCGCAUUACACUGACGCGUCCAACGGGUGACUCCCGACCCGAAGGGCCGGGAAUCCGCAAGGCGCGUCGUGAUGGGGAUUGAACGUUGCAAUUGUGUUCACGAACGAGGAAUUCCUAGUAGGCGCGGGUCAGUCAACCCGCG